Non-coding RNA from Aulographum hederae CBS 113979, 86 nucleotides. The record is from the annotation of a GenBank genome assembly. Lineage: Eukaryota; Fungi; Ascomycota; Dothideomycetes; Aulographales; Aulographaceae.
GGCCCAUUGGUCUAGUGGUAUGAUACUCGCUUUGGGUCCUUGAUUCAAUUUGUGAGUGGUCUCGCGUUCGAAUCGCGGAUGGGCCC